Molecule: ribosomal RNA, 1346 nt
Filed under: uncultured bacterium
Lineage: Bacteria
Description: partial 16S ribosomal RNA
Rfam family: Bacterial small subunit ribosomal RNA
Source: RNAcentral
GACGAACUUUGGCGGCGUGCUUAACACAUGCAAGUCGAACGGAAAGGCCCUGCUUUUGUGGGGUGCUCGAGUGGCGAACGGGUGAGUAACACGUGAGUAACCUGCCCUUGACUUUGGGAUAACUUCAGGAAACUGGGGCUAAUACCGGAUAGGAGCUCCUGCUGCAUGGUGGGGGUUGGAAAGUUUCGGCGGUUGGGGAUGGACUCGCGGCUUAUCAGCUUGUUGGUGGGGUAGUGGCUUACCAAGGCUUUGACGGGUAGCCGGCCUGAGAGGGUGACCGGCCACAUUGGGACUGAGAUACGGCCCAGACUCCUACGGGAGGCAGCAGUGGGGAAUAUUGCACAAUGGGCGGAAGCCUGAUGCAGCAACGCCGCGUGCGGGAUGACGGCCCUCGGGUUGUAAACCGCUUUCGCCUGUGACGAAGCGUGAGUGACGGUAAUGGGUAAAGAAGCACCGGCUAACUACGUGCCAGCAGCCGCGGUGAUACGUAGGGUGCGAGCGUUGUCCGGAUUUAUUGGGCGUAAAGGGCUCGUAGGUGGUUGAUCGCGUCGGAAGUGUAAUCUUGGGGCUUAACCCUGAGCGUGCUUUCGAUACGGGUUGACUUGAGGAAGGUAGGGGAGAAUGGAAUUCCUGGUGGAGCGGUGGAAUGCGCAGAUAUCAGGAGGAACACCAGUGGCGAAGGCGGUUCUCUGGGCCUUUCCUGACGCUGAGGAGCGAAAGCGUGGGGAGCGAACAGGCUUAGAUACCCUGGUAGUCCACGCUGUAAACGGUGGGUACUAGGUGUGGGGUCCAUUCCACGGGUUCCGUGCCGUAGCUAACGCUUUAAGUACCCCGCCUGGGGAGUACGGCCGCAAGGCUAAAACUCAAAGGAAUUGACGGGGCCCCGCACAAGCGGCGGAGCAUGCGGAUUAAUUCGAUGCAACGCGUAGAACCUUACCUGGGUUUGACAUGGAUCGGGAGUGCUCAGAGAUGGGUGUGCCUCUUUUGGGGUCGGUUCACAGGUGGUGCAUGGCUGUCGUCAGCUCGUGUCGUGAGAUGUUGGGUUAAGUCCCGCAACGAGCGCAACCCUUGUUCACUGUUGCCAGCACGUUAUGGUGGGGACUCAGUGGAGACCGCCGGGGUCAACUCGGAGGAAGGUGGGGAUGACGUCAAGUCAUCAUGCCCCUUAUGUCCAGGGCUUCACGCAUGCUACAAUGGCUGGUACAGAGAGUGGCGAGCCUGUGAGGGUGAGCGAAUCUCGGAAAGCCGGUCUCAGUUCGGAUUGGGGUCUGCAACUCGACCUCAUGAAGUCGGAGUCGCUAGUAAUCGCAGAUCAGCAACGCUGCGGUGAAUACGUUCCCGGGGCU